UUAUGUUUGUUGUUGUUAAGCAGAGCCUGGGCCUUCAUUUUCCAAUUGAUCUUGUUCUUUUUGGUCAACAAUUGUCAGUUCCUAAGGAUAAAAGAUUAUUGUACUCCAAAUCCUUUUACACUGCCAGACUGACUGUGUUGUCGACUGUGGGUCAGCCGUGCUCUGCCCUGGAUUCUGGUCAAUCUUCUCCUUCAAUUCAGAGACAAAUACAUCACUCCUCUUGCAAUCAAACUGCUCUGUGUUUGGCUUGAUCAGGAGUAAGUUCCUUUGUGCUAGACUCCCUGAAUCUCUUGGCUAUAUUGUAAACUUGAGUCGUCUUGUAAUCAAACCAUGCGAGAUCG
This 341-nucleotide long non-coding RNA is filed under the name Androctonus crassicauda. The record is from RNAcentral. Lineage: Eukaryota; Metazoa; Arthropoda; Arachnida; Scorpiones; Buthidae.